Molecule: ribosomal RNA, 301 nt
Filed under: uncultured bacterium
Lineage: Bacteria
Description: partial 16S ribosomal RNA
Rfam family: Bacterial small subunit ribosomal RNA
Source: RNAcentral
CAGCCGCCGCGGUAAUACGUAGGUGGCAAGCGUUGUCCGGAAUUAUUGGGCGUAAAGCGCGCGCAGGUGGUUUAAUAAGUCUGAUGUGAAAGCCCACGGCUCAACCGUGGAGGGUCAUUGGAAACUGUUAAACUUGAGUGCAGGAGAGAAAAGUGGAAUUCCUAGUGUAGCGGUGAAAUGCGUAGAGAUUAGGAGGAACACCAGUGGCGAAGGCGGCUUUUUGGCCUGUAACUGACACUGAGGCGUGAAAGCGUGGGGAGCAAACAGGAUUAGAUACCCCCGUAGUCCCUGUCUCUUAUAC